UGGGGAAUAUUGCACAAUGGGCGCAAGCCUGAUGCAGCCAUGCCGCGUGUAUGAAGAAGGCCUUCGGGUUGUAAAGUACUUUCAGCGGGGAGGAAGGUGUUGAGGCUAAUAACCUCAGCAAUUGACGUUACCCGCAGAAGAAGCACCGGCUAACUCCGUGCCAGCAGCCGCGGUAAUACGGAGGGUGCAAGCGUUAAUCGGAAUUACUGGGCGUAAAGCGCACGCAGGCGGUCUGUCAAGUCGGAUGUGAAAGCCCCGGGCUCAACCUGGGAACUGCAUUCGAAACUGGCAGGCUAGAGUCUUGUAGAGGGGGGUAGAAUUCCAGGUGUAGCGGUGAAAUGCGUAGAGAUCUGGAGGAAUACCGGUGGCGAAGGCGGCCCCCUGGACAAAGACUGACGCUCAGGUGCGAAAGCGUGGGGAGCAAACA
RNAcentral lists this ribosomal RNA (427 nucleotides) under uncultured bacterium. Its description in RNAcentral is "partial 16S ribosomal RNA". It matches the Rfam family "Bacterial small subunit ribosomal RNA", at positions 355 to 774 of the family's 1533-position model. The record is from RNAcentral.